GGAAUUUCUAUCCGUUACCGAAAGGACACAGAGAUCAGAGUCACUGUCAGUGUCCAAAGUACCGUCAUGUGCCGAAGUGCUGGCUUCAGGCUGUGCAGUUAAAGCAGUAAAUGAGACAACCCGAGCAGUUGGCUGGUUCACCUUCUACAAUGAGGUAAGGAGGCAAAAUUAUCAUGAGAGAUACAAUUGUAUGAAAAUUGAAAAGUGUGCAGUUCAAAG
Molecule: long non-coding RNA, 219 nt
Filed under: Gadus morhua (Atlantic cod)
Lineage: Eukaryota; Metazoa; Chordata; Actinopteri; Gadiformes; Gadidae
Description: lncRNA (ENSGMOG00000032900.1)
Source: RNAcentral